Sapajus apella (tufted capuchin) is the source of this 525-nucleotide long non-coding RNA. RefSeq lists it as uncharacterized. NCBI's taxonomy places the organism in Eukaryota, Metazoa, Chordata, Mammalia, Primates, Cebidae. The transcript is spliced from 4 exons. The record is from RefSeq and is a predicted model, not a curated record.
AGAAGUAAAAGAAAAAAUUACUUCCUUAGAAGCCGACAUCUUUCUUUCUGAAGUUUAAACAAUCACAACCAUGUUUAUGGUUGUUGGAUGUCCCCCUUCCAAGCCAAAAGAAGCACUCUUGAAUUUUAACAAGUUUGGACUCUCUCAUUUUAAGAAAUAUUUGAAGAACAUGGAGAGACAACCAAAGAAUGUUGUAAGAAAAGAAGAUACUAAACAGUAUAGAGAUGAUUAAGACCACGAGCUUGGGAAACCAAAGGAAGAAUGAUACACAGAGAAAGUAAAUAUAUGAAGGAACAUACUGGAAGCACAACAGAACCUUGGCUAUGAAGACUCUUCAAGGUUUUGUUAUUCAAGGUCUAUGGAUUACCAUGAAGAUGGACUGGACAUUACACCACACUGGAAAAGUGAAACAUCCCAUUCAGUUUGUGAUCUUCCUGUCAUGAAAGUUGCUUGACAGCUCCAAUUUUCAAUUGAACACAUUAAACACCUGGAGAAAUUAUCAAUUAAAAACAUCUAAUCACCAUA